UGUUUAAACACACUUACACCUUCAAUAAUAUGACAAUUAAUCGUCAUAAUCACAUUAUUUGUUUGACAAUAAAUCGCCGGCACCUCCAGGUAUGUCCCGACCAACAUUUGAGUAAAGUUACAUAAUAAAAAAUACUUUAACUUUAUACUGUUUUCAUUUUAAUGAGUAAUAAAGUUUUUCAGUUUCAAUAUUCAUGUGCAGUUUAUUGUCCGACCAGAAGCAGCGGUCAAACGGCCUCGUCACGUGUCAGCUGUUACUUUUCUCAGCGCUGAUGCACAUCUUUUUAUUAUUUUCUGCAGAUCGCACAUUUGCAUUUGUAUGUUAGGCCUAACCCUUAAAAAUAUCACAUGUAGUUAAACAUUCUUUCAAUGCUCCAUUCUCCCCAUCAUUUAAUCAUUUCAGAAGUCAUUUUGCACAAGUAAUUUUUAGUUUAUCCCAGCCUUUGUUUAGAUUUCCAUGUGUUUAAUGCUCAUUUUGCAGAUAUUACCAGACUAAUAUUCUCACAUUUCCUUAUUACCAACAUUUUAAAUAUUAUCCUCUUUGAAAUCCCUCUACCAACUUCUAAUCCAAACCCAAAUGAACAGAUUUGUUCUGCGUCUUCUGCACUGACUUUCACACUUUGUUGACACAGUCAUAUUAAACAUGGAGAUAUUAUUCCAGUUCGGUGGAAAUCAGAUUUCUGUGGUAUUCCUGCGGGCACAGAUUCUGCGUGGGCAUCAGGACCUGCUGCUGUGUGUUUGCACUCAUGAUGAGUGUGUUCUAUUGUUAGGGAGGUGUGUUUACCUGCAGUGACUCCGCCUUCUUCAACACACUUACAGUAACUGAUGCUGCAAUAUGACAUUUCCCAAGAAACACAAACAGUCUAGAGCUGUCAAUCAUUACUGUGUGUUUCUAAGAAAACAAUUAGGCAAUCAAUAACUUGUGUGUGUGUGUGACAGAGAGAUAGAGAGUGUGUGUGUGUGUGAGAGAGUGUGUGUGUGUGUGUGUGAGUGUGUGUGAGUGUGUGUGUGAGAGAGAGAGUGUGUGUGUGUGUGUGUGUGUGUGUGUGUGUGUGUGUGUGUGUGUGUGUGUGUGUGUGUGAGUGUGUGAGUGUGUGUGUGUGUGUGUGUGUGUGUGUGUGUGUGUGUGUGUGUGUGUGUGUGUGUGUGUGUGUGUGUGUGUGUGUGUGUGUGUGUGUGUGAGUGUGUGUGUGUGUGUGUGUGUGUGUGAGAGAGAGUGUGUGGGUGGUUUCGCAUAACCUGAAUCUCUGCAUACCUGAGACAGGCUCGGCCGGUCAAACUUUUUCAGAGAUUACAGUCAGUGUUUGUCUCUGAAUGUGACUCAUGCAGCAUCUUACACUGAAUGGCAGCUGGUUGUUUGUAGAGGUGUUUGCUGGUGAAACGUCUCUAUUACUUUUGCUCAAGUGACUUUUUAAUAAACCUCUAACAGUAGAUAGUAAAUGUUUAGUGUGUAAGUCCUCCUGUUCCAGACACAAGAUCCUCAAAUCAUGUCCAUAGCUUCAAGAUGGCGCGAGUAUGGCGGCUGCGGUGCGAGCUCCGACCCAACAUCGCAGUUUUCAGUUUGUUUUGUUUACAAUUCUUGUGUUUUUCAUCUUGGAUGUCAUCUGCCUUAUUGUCUGUGAUAGACAAAUGCUUUUGGACAUUGGUUCCUCAAUAGCACACCAAAAACUGGACUUUAAGUACAACAAUGCCGACCCACUGCUUCAAACACGCCAGCGGAGUCCUUUGACUGGGCAGCCCGGCCACAGACGUGCAGCUGGAAAAGGAGAGCUGGCGUUCUCGUCAGACUAAGAUGUCGAGCAAAUCGAAUAUCUCAUGCCUCUGUGUCGACCAUUCUGGCUACUGAGGGAAUUCACAGCGGUCAUUAUCACAGCUGUGUACAUCCCCCCACAAGCCGACACAGACCGGGCACUCAGGGAACUGUAUGGGAGUAUAAGUGAGCAGGAAACCACGCACCCUGAGGCCGUGUUCAUUCUGACCGGGGACUUUAACAAAGCCAAUUUUAAAACAAUCGCACCAAAAUACCACCAACACAUCAACUUCAACACACGAGGGGACCGGGUUUUGGAUCUAGGAUUACCCUAGAAACAACAUAGCAACACCCUGGCAACCCCCCAGAACAACCUACCAACUGCAAAGCAACACCCUGGAACCACUCAACACCUUAGCAACCACAUAGCAAUACAGAGGCAACCACCUACAACACCCUAGGAAUCACAUGGCAAAGACCUGGUAACCCUCAGAUUACCCUAGCAUCCACAUAGCAACACCCUGGUAACCACCCACAACAUGAUAAAAACUGCAUAGCGAUGCCCUGGAACCACUCACAACACCUUAGCAACCACAUAGCCUAGAUCCUGUCACAGACCCACAUCAUCCUAGCAACUGCAAAGGAGCGCCCCUCUGGCAACCACCCACAACACGAUAACAACUGCACAGCUAGACCAUGGAACCACUCACAACACAUUAGCCACUGCAGAGCAAUGCCCUGGAAACCAACCACAACACCCUAGAUCCAUGCACUGACCCAUAUCAUCCUAGUAUGUGCAUAGCAACAAUUGCCAACCCACCACAACAAUUUGGCAACUGCAUAGCAAUGCCCUGCUGGCAACCCUCCUCAACACCAAAACAACUGAAAACACUCAAAGCACAUAAGCAACCACAUAGCAAUGCCCUGGCAACCACCCAUAUCACACUAGCAACCACAUAGCAAUGAUCUGGUGUUCAACCACAUCACCGUAGCAUUUGCAUAGCGACACCAUGGCACUCCCCCUACAACACUCUAGUAACCGCAUAGCAAUGCUCCUCUGGCAACCACCCACAACAACUUAACAAUUGCGUAGUUCCAUCCUGGAAUCACUCACAACACCUUAGCAACCAAAUAGCAAUGGCCUGGCAACCUCCUACAACAUCCAAGCAACUUCAUAAUCAUGCCCUUAAACCCCUCACAACACCUUAGCAACCACAUAGCAAUGCCCUGGCAACUGCCCACAAUACCCUAGCAACAGCAUAGAAACACCCUAGCUACCCCCCACAACACCUCAGCAACGGCAAAGCAAUGACCUGGUAACCCUCAGAUUACCCAAGCAACUGCAUAGCAACACCCUGUCAACCACUCACAUCACCCUAACAACCACAUAGCAACGACCUAGCAUCCACCCACAUCACACUAACAACCGCAUAGCAACGACCUCGCAUCCAUCCACAUCACACUAACAACCGCAUAGCAACGACCUAGCAUCCAUCCACAUCACACUAACAACCACAUAGCAACGACCUAGCAUCCAUCCACAUCACACUAACAACCGCAUAGCAAUGACCUAGCAUCCAUCCACAUCACACUAACAACCGCAUAGCAAUGACCUAGCAUCCAUCCACAUGACACUAACAACCACAUAGCAACGACCUAGCAUCCAUCCACAUCACACUAACAACCGCAUAGCAACGACCUAGCAUCCAUCCACAUCACACUAACAAAAAUGAAAUAACAUUUUUGACCCAGGAGAUGGUUUGAAUUGUUUCUGAUGUGUUUUUAAUUAUCUGUCACUAUCAGAGAGUGUAAAAUACAUUCAGAGACUCGCCGCUGCACUCUGAUGAAACACAGGGCUGGUUGCUAUGGCGGCGUGAUGUCGGGCCAAUGUAGCAACAGAAAUGUAUUACAUUACUGUGCUUGUUUCAAAAGCUUUAGGACAUUAUAGUGUGUGUGCUGGGCAUUUACAGACUACACACACGCAAACACACAUUACACAAUCAACUGAAGAUGUGAACAUGGGAUUACACAACAACUUUAACUCAUUUAUAUUUUGGAAACAUAUCAAGUUAGAAAGUCCACUGUAUAAUUAUCAUCAUUAGCGGAACCCCAAUUCUCCCAAAAACAUGGGACAGUAUGAAUAAUGCUAAUAAAAGUGAUUUGUAAAUGAUAUUCACCCUGUGGUAUACUGAAAGCAGCACAACUAGGGGCAAUUUAACACUAAUAACAAUUUGAGGAGUUGAAAUAAGAAGUGGAGGUGAAAUGGGAGACGUUAAACAGGCAAUCGUGUCAUUGUAUAUAAGGAACCUCCAAAAACAGCCUUAAAACCAUCAUUGAUCUGUGAUGACAUCAUGAACAUGGGCUUGAGAUGACUUUAGUGACCCUUUGAUACUCAACAGCACUCGCCGCUGCAUCCACAGAUGCAUGUUCAGACUCUGUAAAGGAGAAGCCGUACAUCAUCACUGUCCAGAAGCGCUGCACUAACAACACCGGGCACACGUGACCUUCAUAUACUGCCAUUCAAUCUUCUCCAGGAACAUCCUCUUCAAAGCACACACUGGCAGAAUCAUCAGAGAGAGCGGGCACUAGAUUGGCAUGCAGUCCUGACACUCUCCAGUUGAGAAUGUGUGGCGCAGAUGAAGACCCCGUACAGGUGUGCUGAUGAAGACCCCGUACAGGUGUGCUGAUGAAGACCCCGUACAGGUGUGCUGAUGAAGACCCCGUACAGGUGUGCUGAUGAAGACCCCGUACAGGUGUGCUGAUGAAGACCCCAUACAGGUGUGCUGAUGAAGACCCCGUACAGGUGUGCUGAUGAAGACCCCGUACAGGUGUGCAGAUGAAGACCCCGUACAGGUGUGCUGAUGAAGACCCCGUACAGGUGUGCAGAUGAAGACCCCGUACAGGUGUGCUGAUGAAGACCCCGUACAGGUGUGCUGAUGAAGACCCCGUACAGGUGCGCAGAUGAAGACCCCGUACAGGUGUGCUGAUGAAGACCCCGUACAGGUGUGCAGAUGAAGACCCCGUACAGGUGUGCUGAUGAAGACCCUGUACAGGUGUGCUGAUGAAGACCCUGUACAGGUGCGCAGAUGAAGACCCCGUACAGGUGUGCUGAUGAAGACCCCGUACAGGUGUGCAGAUGAAGACCUGUAUAAUGGAUUCCACUUUCUAAACUAAACGUGUCUUCAGUCCCAAAUACUUGAUAAGUGUUAUUAGCAGAAAUGAUGAUGCUUCACAGAGGAAACACUCGCCUGUCACAAGUGUUUGGGAUUGGGGUUGUACUUUGUGCU
Long non-coding RNA from Xyrauchen texanus (razorback sucker), 5036 nucleotides. RefSeq lists it as uncharacterized. The transcript is spliced from 3 exons. Lineage: Eukaryota; Metazoa; Chordata; Actinopteri; Cypriniformes; Catostomidae. The record is from RefSeq and is a predicted model, not a curated record.